Long non-coding RNA from Hemicordylus capensis (graceful crag lizard), 1478 nucleotides. RefSeq lists it as uncharacterized. The transcript is spliced from 5 exons. The record is from RefSeq and is a predicted model, not a curated record. Lineage: Eukaryota; Metazoa; Chordata; Lepidosauria; Squamata; Cordylidae.
GCUUACAGCUGGCGGUAUUUAGCUGGCUACUGAGCAGCUGGGUGUUCUUUGGGGGAAAGCAGAGUUUGAAAGGGCUGAGAAGGCUGCUGAGAGAGGCCUGGCCACAGUUUCUGAGGGUGUCAAAUUCGGACUUGUGUAGCGACCGUAUCGGGCACAUGUCUUCGAACUGUGGAAGAACUUAUAUUCCUUCUCUGCUGGAUUUUGCCAGUUUGCAAGGUUAAUGAAAUGGCUUCUUAUAAUGCUAAGAAGGCCAUCUAAGAGCUUCAGCCUGGAGCAACAGAGUGAGCCUUCAGAGAUGAACAUUGCACGGAAUGGUUUGGUUCCAGGAGGAAGCCAGGAACAGAGUAAUGUGGCUAGUGCAAUCAACUUCAGAAAGGCAGUCCUUGGCCUUUGUGCAUCACCCAUUUGACCGUCCUGCUCGAACAUCAAUUUUUUGCAACAUGGUUCCUAUGCCCUCAAAAGGCACCGAAUUUCCUACUUGGACAGCAGUGCAAUCAUUUCCUUAAGCUUUCUUUUCAACCUAGCCCCUCCCCUUGUCCUUUCUGCAUCAUCCAUCAUCAGGCUUCAAUACAGAAAAUGUUCUUACCGGCAAAAAGGGCAACAUUAGUUUGUCUAGCAUCGAAGGGGCACCUUGCCAACCCACUAAUUUCUUCGCCAUCGUACUCCAAGGUAUUCAACUGGAGAAGAAGUGGGGGGAAAAAACGGUUCGGUGAUGUAACUUCAAGCUCCGCGGGCCAGCGCGAUGGGGGGGGGGGGGGCGCAGUGCUACUUUCUAAACACCAUAAUUCAGCCUGAUGAUUUAUGUCAGACUUGAUCUAAUCUUCCAUUAUGCUCGGGAAGAGAAACUGUUUGGCAAGGAUUUGUGAAAAGCAGGUCGCUUUUGCCUCCACAACGAGGAGAGUUUCUGCAAGCCGAUGACAACAGCCAAUGGAUGGCCCACUUAAGGGCCCUGAUCCAUGAGCAACCGGCCAUGAAAAAUAAAGAACUGUUGGCUGGAUGCUGAUGCAUGCCCCAGUUAAGUUAGAAAGUCACAUCCAAUCAAUGCAAAAGGGCUUGAGAAGGCAUAACCCCAUGUGCAUCCACACUGAGUGUGGAUGAAGGCUGCUUAUGCACAAAACACUCUCUGGCUGGACUGGGCCAUUAUUCCUUACCCUAUAAUAACGGCACAUAGGGUUAAAAGCAUUUGUUCCACAGACAAACACCAUCUCGUCGUUCCUGGGAACAAAGACUUUAAUAAAAUUAUGGCAUUCAUCCUAGAAAGAAGAAGAGAAAGACAAUGGAUUAUAUCUGCAUCCACUUCCACUUCCAAAUGCAGUUUAAAUUAUUUUGGAUGCUCUCUUACAGGACAAACCUACUUUGUGUUUGCCCUUCAUAGCACAGUUCUCUCUGUCCUGCUGCUUUGACCGCCAUGUUAGCUUCUGUUUCAAUCAAACACAAAAAUAAAAUUGUCAAUCUUUAACCAAUUGUAUUAAAACGAA